GAACGGACGAGAAGCUUGCUUCUCUGAUGUUAGCGGCGGACGGGUGAGUAACACGUGGAUAACCUACCUAUAAGACUGGGAUAACUUCGGGAAACCGGAGCUAAUACCGGAUAAUAUUUUGAACCGCAUGGUUCAAAAGUGAAAGACGGUCUUGCUGUCACUUAUAGAUGGAUCCGCGCUGCAUUAGCUAGUUGGUAAGGUAACGGCUUACCAAGGCAACGAUGCAUAGCCGACCUGAGAGGGUGAUCGGCCACACUGGAACUGAGACACGGUCCAGACUCCUACGGGAGGCAGCAGUAGGGAAUCUUCCGCAAUGGGCGAAAGCCUGACGGAGCAACGCCGCGUGAGUGAUGAAGGUCUUCGGAUCGUAAAACUCUGUUAUUAGGGAAGAACAUAUGUGUAAGUAACUGUGCACAUCUUGACGGUACCUAAUCAGAAAGCCACGGCUAACUACGUGCCAGCAGCCGCGGUAAUACGUAGGUGGCAAGCGUUAUCCGGAAUUAUUGGGCGUAAAGCGCGCGUAGGCGGUUUUUUAAGUCUGAUGUGAAAGCCCACGGCUCAACCGUGGAGGGUCAUUGGAAACUGGAAAACUUGAGUGCAGAAGAGGAAAGUGGAAUUCCAUGUGUAGCGGUGAAAUGCGCAGAGAUAUGGAGGAACACCAGUGGCGAAGGCGACUUUCUGGUCUGUAACUGACGCUGAUGUGCGAAAGCGUGGGGAUCAAACAGGAUUAGAUACCCUGGUAGUCCACGCCGUAAACGAUGAGUGCUAAGUGUUAGGGGGUUUCCGCCCCUUAGUGCUG
Molecule: ribosomal RNA, 799 nt
Filed under: uncultured Staphylococcus sp.
Lineage: Bacteria; Bacillati; Bacillota; Bacilli; Caryophanales; Staphylococcaceae
Description: bacterial SSU rRNA
Rfam family: Bacterial small subunit ribosomal RNA
Source: RNAcentral